This 608-nucleotide ribosomal RNA is filed under the name uncultured bacterium. RNAcentral describes it as "bacterial SSU rRNA". The stretch from base 1 to 520 matches the Rfam family "Bacterial small subunit ribosomal RNA", at positions 338 to 873 of the family's 1533-position model. The record is from RNAcentral.
CCUACGGGAGGCAGCAGUGGGGAAUAUUGCACAAUGGGCGAAAGCCUGAUGCAGCGACGCCGCGUGAGGGAUGACGGCCUUCGGGUUGUAAACCUCUUUCAGCAGGGAAGAAGCGAAAGUGACGGUACCUGCAGAAGAAGCGCCGGCUAACUACGUGCCAGCAGCCGCGGUAAUACGUAGGGCGCAAGCGUUGUCCGGAAUUAUUGGGCGUAAAGAGCUCGUAGGCGGCUUGUCACGUCGGUUGUGAAAGCCCGGGGCUUAACCCCGGGUCUGCAGCCGAUACGGGCAGGCUAGAGUGUGGUAGGGGAGAUCGGAAUUCCUGGUGUAGCGGUGAAAUGCGCAGAUAUCAGGAGGAACACCGGUGGCGAAGGCGGAUCUCUGGGCCAUUACUGACGCUGAGGAGCGAAAGCGUGGGGAGCGAACAGGAUUAGAUACCCUGGUAGUCCACGCCGUAAACGGUGGGAACUAGGUGUUGGCGACAUACACGUCGUCGGUGCGCNGCUACGCAUAGUUACCCGUCCGUCGGGAGGUACGGCCGCGAGACGUAAACGUACGAAAGAAGUAAGUACGGCGUUGAGACGUUGCGAAGGCGACGACGAGGGAGGAGG